CACGGGGGGAGCAAGCGUUGUUCGGAAUCACUGGGCGUAAAGAGCGUGUAGGCGGCCAGAAAAGUCCGCUGUGAAAACUCGAGGCUCAACUUCGAGCUGUCGGUGGAAACUUUCUGGCUAGAGUCCGGAAGAGGAGAAUGGAAUUCCUGGUGUAGCGGUGAAAUGCGCAGAUAUCAGGAAGAACACCCGUGGCGAAGGCGGUUCUCUGGGACGGUACUGACGCUGAGACGCGAAAGCGUGGGGAGCGAACAGG
Molecule: ribosomal RNA, 253 nt
Filed under: uncultured bacterium
Lineage: Bacteria
Description: partial 16S ribosomal RNA
Rfam family: Bacterial small subunit ribosomal RNA
Source: RNAcentral